Zingiber officinale is the source of this 5485-nucleotide long non-coding RNA. RefSeq lists it as uncharacterized. The transcript is spliced from 4 exons. Lineage: Eukaryota; Viridiplantae; Streptophyta; Magnoliopsida; Zingiberales; Zingiberaceae. The record is from RefSeq and is a predicted model, not a curated record.
CCUAAUUUCAACGCUCGAGCCUCUCAACUUUCCCUUCGUCGCCGCCUUCUCAACUUUCCCUUCGUCGCCGCCUUCUCAACCUCUCAACUUUCCCUUCAUUGCCGCCUUCUCAACCAUUGCCGCCUACUCAGCAGUCGCCGUCGUUCCUAGUCAGUAGUCGCCUCCGUGCCUAUUUAGGAGUCGCCGCCGUGCCUACUUGGUGUCUCAGCCGCACCCUCGGUCGGGAACAAACCUCUUUCGUGCAUUUUUUUUGUUUUUUAUCUCUUGAUCAGUUAUGUCUGUAGAAGGGUCAUCUCUUCCACUUACCAUAAAUAGUGUCAUAGCUGAAAGUAAUGAGGUUAAUCUUGAGAUCAACAAGAAAAUUGACAUAGCUGGUCAAGAAACACAAGAAAAUCCUGAAGCAAAAGAGGAAGAGGGGUGUCAAACAAAGAAAAGGAAAAAAAAAUUUAGAAGUUUGAAAUGAUUUUGACACAGUGGAUGGAUCAAAGAAAGAAAAAUGUAAACAUUGCCAAUCUCUUUUUACAUUGGGUAAAUCAGGGGCCACAUCAAGUCUUUUGAGGCAUAGAUUAAAUUGUGUGAAGAGAAAAAUUAAUUUACGAGCAACUGAACAACAAUCAAAGUUGAGUUUUUUGCCCACUGAUUCAGCUUCGCCAUCCAUUCUUACUUUGCAUUCUGGAAAAUUUGACAUGGAACAAAUGAGGGAGGCAGCUGCUUAUUGGAUCAUGAUGCAUGAACACCCAUUCACCAUUCUUGAUGAAGAGGGGUUCAAUUUAAUGAUAAGGCGUGGAAUGCCGGAAUGGCAAAAUAUUAGUAGGACGACAUGCCGAGCAGAUUGUAUGAAAAUUUUUGAGAUUGAGAAAAAGAAGUUGAAGAAGAGUCUUGAGUGUGUUAAUAAAAUAAGUUUGACAACAGAUUGUUGGAAGUCAAAGACUCAAAAGAUUGAAUACAUGGUUGUCACUGGACAUUGGAUUGAUUCUUGUUGGAAUUUACAAAAGAGAGUUUUAAGUUUCAUUAACAUUCCACCACCAAGGGGAGAUCUUCAAAUUUUCGAUGCCAUUUUCAAGUGUAUGAAAGAGUGGGGCAUUGAAAACAAGGUUUUCACUAUUACAGUUGAUAAUGCUUUAAGUAAUGAUUUGGCUAUUCGAUAUAUGAAAGAUACCAUUCAAAGGUCAAGAACAUUGGCAUGUGAAGGAAAUUUAUUUCAUGUUCGUUGUUGUGCACAUAUCUUGAACUUGUGCAUUCAAGAUGAAUUGAGGGAGAUUGAAGAUAUUAUUGGUAAUAUAAGGGAAAGUGUAGAAUAUGUAAAUCGUUCAGAGGUAAGAUGUGUGCAAUUUGCAGAGUGUGUAUAACAACUACCGUUGAAGGAUAAAAAAUUGAUUCGUGAUUGCAAAACCAGGUGGAACUCGACUUUUGAGAUGUUAAGUUGUGCACUCAAGUUCAAAGAAGCUUUUAAGAUGUUCAAAGAACGUGAUCUCUUUUAUGGUUGCUGCCCUCAAGAAGGAGAAUGGAAUAAAGCUCAAAAGAUUUGCUCACUGUUGGAGGCAUUUUGGACAGCCACACACAUUAUUUCAGGUAGUGAGUAUCCUACUUCAAAUUUAUUUCUUCAAGAAGUUCAAAAAAUAAAGUCAGCAUUGGAUAUUUAUGCACAACAUGAAGAUUUGUUUCUUAAGCAACUAGCUAGCAAAAUGAAAGAAAAAUUUGAAAAGUAUUGGAGUGAUUGUAAUUUAUUGAUGGCUAUAGCUGCUGUGUUAGAUCCAACCAAAAAAAUGCUUGCUGUUGAAUUUUGUUUUCCUAAGCUUUAUUCUGAAUUGGAUGCCUCUAAGCAUAUCUCAAAAGUUAAGGAGAUAAUUAAUUCUCUUUAUGAGGAGUAUGUUGUUGAAGAAACUAAUAAAGGAGCACCUCAUUUAUCUGAGUCUGAGAGUUUUGGUUCUUCAAGUGCUAGAAAAGUCAACAAAGUUCUGUGUAUAAUUGGGAUGAUUUUAAUGAUUAUUGUGCAAAAUUUGAAAUUUCGGAGACUAAGAGAUCUGAAUUAGUAGAUUAUCUUGAAAAGGGUCGUCUAAAGAAGAAUGAGAUUCCUGAAAAAUUUUCGUAUUUAGAAUGGUGGAGAAUGAAUAGAAUGCAGUAUCCAAUAUUGUCAAAGAUAGCAGUUGAUAUUUUAGCUAUUCCAGUGAGUUCAGUGGCUUCAGAAGCAACAUUUAGUGCAGGGACAAGAGUUAUUGAUUCUUAUCGUUCAUCUCUCUUUCCAGACACAGUGCAGACUCUACUGUGUGGGGGUGAUUGGCUUCGACAAAUACAUGGACUGAAAAAGAAGACUAAAGAAAGCUAAAACUUAUCAAGAAAUUGUUCUUCCAGUAUCUAUCUCUUAAAAGAAAUUCAGAAAUUCAGAAAUUCAGAAUGAGUUGCAGUGAUCAUUGCACAAAAAUCUGCAAAGACAUUAAAGUGCAGAGCUGGAAUGUGAGGUGCAUUUUGUAUCAAAUUUGUAUCAAGAUUUAGAAUGCAAUAUUCAAAUGAGGGGAAGCUUAAUUGAAAUUUAAGAAUAUGCUGAAAACAAAUGGUAUGCUUACUUUCAUUAGCAUCUGCAAAAUAAGAAAGGAUGAAAUUCAGAAACUCCAUCUAGACACAAAAAUGCAGAAACGGUGAAUUUUGUAGCUAUUGAAAUCUGAUCAUAAUAGACUAUAUUUCGGAAUUCAAUUGGUGGGUAUCAUUUUACCAAUGAAGUACUUGAACAUGGCAUCAUUAUUUCUGAAGAAGUGAAGAGAAUUGCAGCAACUGGAUACUCAGAAUAGAAAUGGAAAAAGAAUGCAAUAUGUUUUCUUCACACCUGUAUGACUGGAUCUGGACUUUCUAAAAUAAGGAAUUCAGCAGUCAGAACUCUACCUUCCAUUAUCCUGUGCCGAAUUUCCAUUGAAGCAAAAUUCUGAAACUUCAGUUUAGAAGGAAGCUGGAAUUCAAUAAAGUCAAUUUAUUUUGCAAGCACUUGGCCUGUAGAAUUGAAGUGAAGUAUUUGGCCUUCUAUUUCAAUCCAAUUGAAAUCUGCUAUGAGUUAAAGCAUGUAUGAACAAUGGAGGAGAUUGCUGGAAUUGUCAUGCUCCACUGCAGUACACAAAAUUCAGUAGAAUGAUUGUUUUUGCUGUGGAUGUACUGUGGAAUUUAGUGGUUGUGAUUCCUGGAAAUGCAUAAUUGGACUGGUACGGAAUUGUCAAGUUUAUAUCUCCAAUCCAGCUUGAUUCUUUUCCUAUUCUUCUCCGGUAUCUGAGCAAAAAGAAGGCAUGUUGGAUAGCCUCUUAAACUGUAAUUGAUGUAUCAACUUUGACAAGUUGCAUGCCAAGCUUUUGUGGCAAGUUUCUGAUAAGUGUAAAAAUCAAGUGAAGUUCUUGUUUACUCAAGGACAAGUAGCAUUUCAUUCUUCUCAAGUCUCAGGUGAUUUAAAAUCUUGAAUUUCUAAGAAUCAAAAUUGUGAAACUGAUCUUGGACAGCAAUAAUUGAAAUGUUCAAGAGAAGAAAAGGGGCCGCUGGAAUGUAAAUUCAGUGCUUUGAUUAUAAUGUGCUAAAUAUUUUAUAUAUCUUCAUGGUUAGUGAAAGGGCUUAAGUAAGUUCUUGCUUGAUCAGUGACAAGUAAGGAGUUAUUCUUUUCAAGCUUAUGACCAUUAUCUGGAAUUUGAAUUCUAAAAAUCUGAUCUGUGGAGCUGAGUUCAGUAGCAUGAAUGAUGAGUAUCAAAUGGAGCUUUAGAAUGUCAAGUUUCAGUUGAUAGCUGCAAAGGCUUGAGGAGGAAUAAAGAAGACAAAGGCUCUUGGUAUUAAUUGCAGAAAUUGAAAGCAAGAAACUGCAGGUGACAGUGAACAUGUGUAACUAUUGGGAACUAAUUCUUAUGGAUCAACAUUCAAAAUUCAAAAAAUAGCAACCUUCAAUUGUUGGAGUACUUCAAUUCAGAACAUUCAUGUUGUUCAGGAAUGGAAAGUUAAAGAAGUUGCAGAAACAAAAAGGGAAACAAUUCAGCUAGUGUGGUGACAGGGGAGUAUCAAGAACUAGAGGUUGUAUCAAGAAAAGGAGCAAGGGUUUGAAUCUUGGUGCCAACUUCAUAUGAUAUUUCUGAACAGCAACAGUUAGAAUUCAUCCAAAAUCUGAAACCUACAAUUAAAUCAAAGUGCUGGAAUUGGAAUUCAGAAGCUGCAACUAUAUAAGAUUGAAUUGAUAUCAUGAAUGAUGAAGAAAGCUGAGAUGAGUGGCACAAUAGGAGCUAGAUUUUGUGGGUUUUGAACUCUGUGAAACAUUUAACACUAAAGGUUAAAUCAGUUAUUAAGUGCCCCUCAAGUUCAAUGUGGGUAGAAAUUUGGGCAGAUGGAAGGCUGAAUUUGAAUCUGAACAAUUACCAUUGAAAGCUGCAGAAAUGAAAAAAAAUAUAGCAAGUGUGUGUCAAGCUCUUCUUGCAAUUCUCUAAUCAAUGGAAGGAUCAAGAAAAGCUAGGUGUAUGUAAUAUGAAUGCAUUUAUAAGCUGUUGGACACACAGAAUUUAGAAACUUGCAGCAAUCUACAGAAAGGAAAAAUCUGCAGGAACGAAUUUGAAGAUGAUGUUUAAGCAAGCUCAGUUCUGUAAUGUCAGAUUGAAGUCUAUCGAGUCCAUGAAGCUGUUCCAGAUAGUAUCAAAGACGUUGAAAAGGAAGAAGGAAACAAUUGCAAGAAUUUGAUAUGCAGAAUGAAGAAAGCUGUAAGCUGCAGCAGAGAAUGUGCAAAUUGUGCCAAUCUUUCAACCAAAUUUUCUGAUCAGGAAUAAGGCUGCAAGAAAUCGAAGUGUUGAUACUUAACCUGGCAUUCUCUUGAAGAAACUGAAGUUUGAAACCAUGAAUUUUCGAAGCUAACUACUCUUGGAUUCUUGCUGAAUUUGAUUGCUGAAUUGUAACAUCUUUGAGGAAUCUUCUUAAAGAAACUGAAAUGGAUGUAUCAGAUUGGUAUGUUGAGUGUCAAACUUAAGUUUUAUCUUGCCGUUACACUAAAGCUGAUUAAGACUUAAACUGGAAUUUAGUGCUAUUAUCAGAGGUUGAGGCUGGGUUGCAGUAAGUGUAUAAGAAAUGCAUUUCUUUGGUCAGUUGAGCAGCUUAAAUCUCAUUGAUUUUGAUUUCUGCAACUUCAAAAUCAUAGGAAGCUGAUUUAUAGUUUGAGUUGGUAUCAAAUUGAAUUGGAAUUCUUGCAAAUAUGAAUUUCUGAAUUGCUGGGUUUGGAGUUGUGAUUGUUCAUUGCUGAAUUUUGUGAUCAAAGCUGUUAAUAGUGAUUAAUGGAAUUUGAUUAAAUCUUUAUUGAAUCUGAAAAAUCAGAAACAGAGAAAUGAAAAUGCAGAAUUCUGAUGUGUAUACUGUGGUGCUCUACGAUUUCUUCUUUUUGCUUUCAAGUAAUGUAUGCAUAAAUGAAUGCAUUUUUUCAAGUGGAUUGCAAAAGGAAUGUAAAUCUCAAAAGAGAAGGAAACGACUUCAAGAGAAGAGCUCUCCUACA